CGCCCCGACCCCCGCGGGCCUGGCGCGGGCAGCUCCGCGGCGGCCGGGCGGGGAAGCCCGUCUUGCUUCGCCCCCGCAAGGCCGGGGGGAGCAGCCCCCCCUCCCCGGGCGGGGUGGGCGCGGGAAAGGGGCGCUCGCGCGCGGCCGUUGGUGCGCGGCCCCGCGCGGCAGGCGCGCUCCCGGCGGAGGCGAGGCGAGGCCGGGCGGUGCGAGGGGAGCCCAGAUGUGACUCAAACCUCAGUAAUGUCUGCUGGAAAACAAACUUCAGGAAACUUCGCGCUUGAAGUCUCCGCUGCUGAACCUUACGCGUGAAGUCAGAGCGUUCGCCGAGAAAACGCCUCGUAACCGGCAGAGAAAACUGACAAGUCUUCCCAGCAACCAGCUUGAUACGUAGGAAAAAAAAAACUUGUUUUUUUUUCCCCCGAGAAAAAGCUGACUGGGAAUACCUAUAGCCAGGUGCAUACCUAGUCAAAGCAAGUGAGGAGGUGACUGUUAACAUCAUCUUCACUUUUCUUAGCCUGCUGAUUCUCCCCUACGGUAAAACCUUGACUCCUGCGUAGUAGUCCAGCGCAAAUCUGGAAAGUGCCAAACUGAGUGUGAGGUUGAUCUUUAUGCAGCAACUUUAACACUCGGUUGGGCAUGUGAAUGAUACCUGCCAGUGGGAAUUCAACAGUUUGUUGACUUAAGUCUUUCUGUACCAAAUCUUCUGUUGCCUGCAAGUAGACAGAACUCAGCAGAGUGAAUGCCAGAGGAGGUCUGGCCUGAUACAGAAGUGGAAGGGCAGACCACGUAGGUUGAUCUGACUGAGAACAAAUUCAAGAUUAGUCUUAAAUUUUUGCAUAGGCCAACUUCUAUACCUUGAUGGGAAACUUGACUGUCAUAUUUUACAAGUACCCAAGUUUAAAAAGUAAAUGCUCUUUAAUACCCUAUUUUUAAUACUCUAUAGUUAAUAUAAAUAGGAAAUUCUAUAGUGACUUCUCCCACCUUCCCCUCUGCCUCCAAAAUGGAUUUAGAAACAUAGGUUGACUUGAUUGUGUUGGACACAGUUGUCGCUACACAAUAGUGCAUGUGAUUCACUUCAUUGGAUAAAGAGAAGUGCUUUUCAGGAAAACUGGCACUAAGUACUUGAAACAUGCUUUGUUUUCAGCUUAUAACUUCAGUUUUUUUCAUGUCAUUGGAAGAAUCCAGAAAUAACAGUUCUGUCUGCAUCUUGAAUCACUUCACUAUUUCAUUGUUCUAGAAAAGAAUCUUCAACUAUUUUAAGGGUUGCAAACCAAUGCAACUCAAGGAGGUGGUGAUUCUUUUUUCUUCUGUGCUUUAGGAAUCUUUACAAAAUGGUUGUGAAUACAUCCAUUUAAGUGGUAAGUCUUGCUCUGUACUGGCUCCAGCAUACAAGUCCAGGUUUUAAAGAUUCCAUUUUCUGCAAUUUAACUCUUUGGAAAGGAAAAUUUAAUUAGAAGAGAGAGGGGGAAAAAAGAAUCUUAUCCCACUCAGAGCAUGGAGAUAAGCAGUUUUCUUGUGUUUUGGAACUCCUGAAGCAAGUUGGUUAUGAGCCAACCUGAGUAUUUAUAAUAUUGGACUGAUGCUCAGGGGUAGCUGAAGUAGUGUUGUUGGUCAGAUCAGUCUUUCCCUUGCUUAUGUGGUGACUUGCAUGCUAGUGGCCAGAACUAACAGGAAACCACAGCUGCUCUUGUUCAUGGCAGUGACAGCUGCCUAAAGAAGUAAAACCAAAUACAGUACAGGAAAUGAGAUGGCUGAAUACAGAUGACUUGCUGAAAAGUACCCUGGAAGUCUCUAUGUAAAACAAUCUUUGAAUAAUUUUAUCAAGUUUUAUGGAACAUGUAAAACUGGUUAAGCUGCUUUUCUCAUAAGGUCAUUGCUGACAACUGUUUUAAUUAAUAGGUCAGUUUCAGAGAAUAGAUUAGUGAAAAUAACCAGUGUGCAAAUACAAAUAAGUUUUUUGAGUUCAUAGCUGCUUGGUAGUAUGGAAAUGAUUCCAUGUUUGUUUUGGCAGCAUUUACUGCAGGGAUAAAACUUUUAGAGUCUGUUCAUGUUAACUGACUGCCCAACAGGUCUGGUAUCAAUGAAACCAAGUUAAUCAGAGUUGUGAAACAGCAUAACCUUUUGUUUAUGCUCACUCAAAUUGCCUUAACAUCUCAACUACUUCCUCAGUUCAGAAACACUUUAAAACUAUCUUUAGUUCCACAGUAGAUUCAGUCUGACUUUCAUGUAUAUAGAAGUUUGGGGAUUUUGAAAAACUUUGUCCUAUGUUACUUGGAAAGUCAUGUUCAGUAUCUGUAUUUGAAGACAGAUGACUCUUACUUUAUUUGCUUAUUUGACUUGGAGGUGAAUGAAUCUGAUUUCCUGUGUGGUGCUGCUUUGGCUUGCUACCAGAAGGAGCUAUUCAGCAUGAGGAGACUUUCCCAUCUUCUGUUUUUGGCUGCUUCUCUUCUGCCUACCAGGAUUUCUUCUUCUCUUCUGACUUAACUACGUGUUAAUGAGCUUCUUACUAAACAAGGUGAUAUUCAUUCUACCCUUGCUGCACUUCUCCUGUUGCAGAGGUCUAAGGCUCAUACCAGUAUCAGUGCCCAGUCACCAGUAGCCUCUGUCAUGCAUAUUACCUUGUCUAAAACUGUGUACAUACAUCAUGAUGGUAACUUGUUUGCAAAAGAAAAGACUUUACUGGCGAAAGUUGGAGCAGUACAACCCCAUGGGUUGUCUUUACCUUAGUGGCAUAGGUUAUUCCCCCUUGAAAAUGGAGAAGUAAGUAAUAGUGCUAUAAGGUACUGUCAGUUCAAUAGAGCUGCAUUUAUCCUGGGGUUGUGUUGGUGUAUUUGCUUUCUAAGUGAGGUGUGUAUGAAAGUCUGUAGCCCAGGGGCCUUAGGGAAUAAGAUAAGGAAGUGUAUCUUAGGAGCCAUACAACAUAUGGGACUAUAACAUAGACCAUCUGUAACCUGAAAUAAACCAUGGAAACUGGUCUAACUUCAAAGGAAUCAGAGUUUUACAGAUAAAGACUGGUAAUUAGCCUGUGAUAACACUUGUAGUAUUAUAGCUAAAGCUUGUAUGAGUGCCUGAUUUUCACAGGUUUAUAUUUUCCUAUUGUAGCAUGCCUAACUCUGCAACAAGUGCAGUGGUGGAUAUAUGUUUAAACUGCAAAUUGGGGAAGAAAAAAAAGGACAAGGAGUGGCAUCCUACACUUGUGUAUGCUUCUCCGGCUAUGAAUCUUUUCAGUCUCAGCUUUUUCAUAAUCAGCUCAUGCCGUUUGUUCAGUAGCCAGCUUUGUCCUUGAGCUUAAAUAGUUGUUUUCCCUUGCUACUGUUGGCUCCUUGUCUAUUUAUAGAGAGAUCAUAACUCUCUCAGCGUUGGGCUUUCUGGAUAAACACGUUUAGGGGGCUGAAGAGGGAAACCUCUUGCAUAUUAGACCCCUCAUUCUCUGGUCAUCCUAGCAGGUAUUCUUUGCACCUGAUCCACAUGAAUUACAAAAGCUCCAUCUUGCUAGGAAAUAAGCUAUUAGGCACAGCUUGAAAUUUGCCUGCUUCAUGUCAGCACUAUGGUGGCUCGUUUUUGUCUCCUAUGGCAUUUAGACCACAGAAUUAGAGGCCAACUUACGUGUUACUCCCUCCUCUACACACCCACACAUGGCAUUAAUAUCUUUAUCUCACUGUAUCAGUCCUUAUUACUACAGUGUUCUGAGUGCCUCUUAAUGAACAACCUAAUCUUUUAUGCAGGAUUGAGGCAGUUUUAGAGAUGAGACAUGCACUCUAUCUUUACUUCCUAGUGAUAUUCACUAAGUGCAUAAAUUGCAGGUAGUAAGUGCUGGGCUGGUGUUAUACAAAAUCUGUCAUACUAGCAUUUAAAACACAAGACCUUACUAAUGCACCAGAUACUUUAAUAGAGAAUAUUCUUGGCCUUCCUCUGCAUGGAAUGAAAUAAGCUUAUAUGUAUGUAUAUUUGAAAUAAUAAAAUAGCUUAUGGAAAGUAUAAAAGAAGUGAUAUUCUGAAGUAUUCUGUCUAGUUCAGUACCUAAAUGGUCACUGUACAGAUACUAAGGCUACAUGGGAGUUGUUUUUUAAUUAGAAUGGUGGGAUAUGUCCAUAGGGGAGGCUGUUCCCUGUUCCAGGUUAUAUCUAACUAAUGCUGUAUGUAAAGAAAGGCGUAUUUUUUUAUCCCCUCCCCCCCACUAGUUAGUGAAUUGAAUUUAGGAAUGAGUAAUUGUUAUUGCUGAUUAGUGUACAGUGUUCUUGUUUUCCAGUGCUGAAUUACUCACUCAUCCUGCUUUAUUAGCUUUCUCUGGAAUUUCUUAGUCUUCAGAAAUUACAAAUUUGUCAUCAUGCUGUUUACUGCACUCUUCAAAUAAUUAGCUAAGGUUAAGCAGUUUCCUUGCAGGGAAGCUUGGAAGGACUUUUAGGCUUUUAGGGAUUUAAAAAAUAUAGUUGUUGUGAGAGAGCCUAAGGAUUGCUUUGAAGUUCUGUUCCUACUGAAAUUCAUCUAGGUGAAAAUGUUAUACAUGGAUACAAAGCUGACAUUAAGGAACUAAGGUAUUGCAAUAAAUGCUGGAGCUGAUUUAUGGAUUUUGUUUUGGGGAUUUUGCAGAUAGAGGUGAGGAGAACAAAUGUACUAUGUUAGCAAGAAUCUUGACCUGUAAAAUGCCCAAAUUAGUCUCAAAGCUCAAAAGAUAAUCAUGACUAGAAGAAAAUACUGAAGUCAAAGCAGGACAAAAGCCUUGGUUAGAUAUGAAUAAUCCAGACUGAGAUGCAAAGCUGUUCUGGGUUGUGGUGCACUUGAAAGACUUGCUAAGAUUCACAAGAUACUCAGGAGGAGUAGCUUGCCAAGUGUGUUGCUCUGAGCCAUUACCUUGGUAACAACUUAGUUUUGAGACUUGUCUUUGAAUACUUCACCCUCACUAGUGAUGAGGGCUUGUGUACUUAACUAGUCUUUAUGAUAACUGAACUAGAAGGUCAGGAAGUAAUUAUACUAACUUUCCUAAGUGCGUUUCUGCAGAUUUUUAGGCAACUAGAAAGACAGCAAUCAUGUUCUCUAAAAACUAGUGGUUCUGUAUAUCUUUUUUUAAAGUAAGCAUACUGAAAACACAAUGUAAUGGAACACAACAAAAUUUGUACAAAGUAAAGUCUAGGAUGUACAGCUGGUUACUCUUUCUUUGAAAUGAAGAUCUUCAUUACCUACCUGUUAGUACAAAUCUCAGUUUACAUCUCUACAAAUUCUGUUUAAAAUGGUAACUGACAGUUACUGUAAAACUCAUGUGCGGGAUCCCUACAGACACCAGUUAUAUCACAGAAUCCAAAAUACAGUCUUAUUGAUAAGCACUAUUUUGACAUUUAUUUCAAAAAUGCUGUUUCAAGUGCUUUGCUACCUCUACUUGGAAAAGUUAAAAUUAAUCCAUAGCAUCUCUCUAAGAGGCUAAGGUUAAAUCAUGAGCAAAUUUUACCAUGGCCAAGACAACUACUGGGCUCAGCACAGAGAUAACUGGGUAAGGUAUAGCAUCUCCAAAAUACGGAAGAUCAUAAAACAGAAGUUUCAAAAGCUAAGACACUAAUGUGGUGAUAAAGCCUUCUCUCUAUACUACCCAGUAGUGAAACAAUUAAAAUAAAAACUUUUCCUCAUGUAGAAUAUCUUGUGCAUAGCAAAAACAAGCUAUCACUCAGGAUACUGUUUAGCUUCUUGGGGUGUGGCAAGGAAAGAGAAUACUCAACUAGAAAAAGAAUUUGUAUGUUUUCCAGUGAAAAGUAUUUUCCAUGGCAGUGAGUCACAGUAACUUGAGGCUUUCUUCAAACUAUUUGUCUAACCAGUUUGCUAUAACAGUCGCAAGUUUCCAGAGACCUACUAUGUGGGACUUGCCAGGGUUAUAAAAUGCUAGUCUUGCUGUGUAGCAGUGACUUUCAUUGCUUAUGUAUUAAAAAUCUUUUUGGGGAAAAAAAAAAGAAAAAAACCAAGAAAAACAGUAUCGCAUCUGUUUAUGUGGUCCAUUUUAGAAUUGGGCUAUUGAAUGCGUCUCCAAAAGAGCUGUACAAAUGCAUGGCAAUACUCUCUCCCUGCCAAAGUAGGAAGCUGUCAAACUAAAUUCCACUGAUGUCCAAAUACAAUAGAAAUUAAGUCUUUUAUCUUUGUGCAUGCUCUUGCAGAUGGGAUGUACAGCAUUCUCAAAUGCCUGGCUCUCAUCAGCCCUCACAGCACAAAUAACUCCCCGGUUGAGAGGUGGGCCUCCUAUAGAUUAAUCACAGUUCCUGGAAAAUGAUAAUUGGCCUAAUUGUGAAAAGGAAUAAAAUGUUAGCAUAUUUUCAAUGUUGUCCCCCUUUUGCUACAGGAGAGAAAAAAAUCAUACCUGUCACUAAACAGGGAAGCUAUACCCUGAACUAUGCCUGACCUGGUAAUAGAAAUGUUUAGCAUAGAAACAGUAAUUAAGUAGCUAGUGAAGUCAGCACAACUCUCAGAAUUGACUAGUCUCCCACUUAUGAAGAUAAGCCAUUAGACAAGUUGAUUUAAUUAAAACUGUUUAGUGAACUACACAGGAAGCUAAAUCCUGCUCAAAAAUAUAAAAGAAAAGGACAAUUUCAGCCUCAAGUCUAAAAGUUGUCCCUAUUCUGGUAUAUGUACAUGGUGACUAAUAGGUGUCUCAGCUGAAAGCCUUUCAAUGCUUUGUUAAUCUUGGAGCAUUUUCCUUAGUUCACCUAGUAUAAAAGUGUAAUAUUUAUUGCAAUAAAAUAUAUAGCAGCCCUUAAUAAAAGUGGAAAUGUAACUGAAUUGCAUGUGUGUGAAGCCUCUAGCUACACUGCUGCUUGUUCAGUUUUUCAGAUUGCAUCUGCCAUAUGAUAAACAUGCAGAAGAGGCCACACUCUCCUUUUUUGUGUUCUGUUUCCCUGUUAAAACUGUAAAAAAUAAAUAACCCUAACUCUUAAUCUACCUGCUGCUUUCUGUAUACCAAUAAACAGCAUUUUGCGUGCCUGCAAAGGUAUGACUGACAUAGUUCUAGCAAAACUGUUUUGCGUACGUGGCUUGGUGAAGUUAGAACAAAUAUGUGGGUUGAAUAAAUACACAGUGAUGUAGUUCAGAUG
Dromaius novaehollandiae (emu) is the source of this 7070-nucleotide long non-coding RNA. RefSeq lists it as uncharacterized. The transcript has 2 exons. Lineage: Eukaryota; Metazoa; Chordata; Aves; Casuariiformes; Dromaiidae. The record is from RefSeq and is a predicted model, not a curated record.